UGCCUAUAUUUCGACUAUGGCAGAACAGGGGUUUUCUCCUGAACGUCGUGAAGAAAUUAUCUGUGCUUAUCAUUUCUUAAGAAAGAAGCUUCGAAAUUAUUUCCGCCCUAUCAGCUUUCGCCGGUAACGUAGUGGUUUACCGUGGCAGUGACGGGUAACGGGGAAUUAGGGUUUGACUCCGGAGAGGGAGCCUGAGAAACGGCUACCACAUCUAUGGAAGGCAGCAGGCGCGCGAAUUACCCAAUCCUAUACUAGGGAGGUAGUGACAAGAAAUAACAACAUAGGUAUCUAUAUUUAUGAUUGGAAUGAGAGGACUUUAAAAUAUUCCUCGAGGAUCCAUUGGAGGGCAAGUCUGGUGCCAGCAGCCGCGGUAAUUCCAGCUCCAACAGCGUAUAUUAAAGUUGCUGCAGUUAAAACGCUCGUAGUUGUUGUCCAACUAUAUACUGCAAAAUCUCGAAGAGGUGAGCAGGUUGUUAGUUUAGCAGAAAUCCGUUUUCUGCCAAAACCUUGAGGAAAGAUUAGUGUUCCAAGCAGUUACUAUUUGACCUCUCCAGCAUGGUAUUCAACCAAAUCGAA
RNAcentral lists this ribosomal RNA (576 nucleotides) under uncultured eukaryote. RNAcentral describes it as "bacterial SSU rRNA". It matches the Rfam family "Eukaryotic small subunit ribosomal RNA", at positions 202 to 829 of the family's 1831-position model. The record is from RNAcentral.